CCGCCCGUUGCAAUUCUUCCUGGAUCUGCUUUGAUGCAAAAACAGGACUCCAACCCUCAGCGACAAGACACUUUUUGGUCACAUCAAGACUAAGCAUGUUCAGAGUGUGGUAGAUGGAUUUCUCCUUCCGCACCAAUGAGUUCCAUUGCACAAAUUGAUCACCAAUAGUCUGCAACAAAUUGCUCCUAUGAAGUAAUCCUGCAUCUAUGGUAGUCUUCAACUCUGAGACUUUUCCUGAGACCUCAUCAAUCAUCUGGUUUUGUUUGCCCAGAUCCUCAGUGAAAGGAUAACGAUUUGC
Molecule: unclassified non-coding RNA, 298 nt
Filed under: Hevea brasiliensis (rubber tree)
Lineage: Eukaryota; Viridiplantae; Streptophyta; Magnoliopsida; Malpighiales; Euphorbiaceae
Source: RNAcentral